GAGUUUGAUCUGGCUCAGGACGAACGCUGGCGGCGCGCCUAACACAUGCAAGUCGAACGGAGCUGAGAGGAGCUUGCUUUUCUUAGCUUAGUGGCGAACGGGUGAGUAACGCGUGAGUAACCUGCCCUGGAGUGGGGGACAACAGUUGGAAACGACUGCUAAUACCGCAUAAGCCCACGAUCCGGCAUCGGAUUGAGGGAAAAGGAUUUAUUCGCCUCAGGAUGGACUCGCGUCCAAUUAGCUAGUUGGUGAGGUAACGGCCCACCAAGGCGACGAUUGGUAGCCGGCCUGAGAGGGCGGACGGCCACAUUGGGACUGAGACACGGCCCAAACUCCUACGGGAGGCAGCAGUAGGGAAUUUUCGUCAAUGGGGGGAACCCUGAACGAGCAAUGCCGCGUGAGUGAGGAAGGUCUUCGGAUCGUAAAGCUCUGUUGUAAGAGAAAAACGGCACUCAUAGGGAAUGAUGAGUGAGUGAUGGUAUCUUACCAGAAAGUCACGGCUAACUACGUGCCAGCCGCCGCGGUAAUUC
RNAcentral lists this ribosomal RNA (530 nucleotides) under uncultured bacterium. Its description in RNAcentral is "bacterial SSU rRNA". It matches the Rfam family "Bacterial small subunit ribosomal RNA", at positions 9 to 526 of the family's 1533-position model. The record is from RNAcentral.